AGUGUGCUGGCAUAACGCUCAGCUACUCUUUAAAUGCAUAAGUGGAACCUCACAGAUCUAGCUCUGGCGUGAUAAUUAUCUACGUUGCAGCGGUGACGUGUUUGGGUCUGCCUACAACUGUCCCUCACUGGACAGGGGUUCUUUGACCCCUAUUUUGACAAUUUGACCUCAAAUCAGGUAGGACUACCCGCUGAACUUAA
RNAcentral lists this unclassified non-coding RNA (200 nucleotides) under soil metagenome. RNAcentral's name for it is "partial contains internal transcribed spacer 2 and large subunit ribosomal RNA". The record is from RNAcentral.